This 425-nucleotide ribosomal RNA is filed under the name uncultured Pseudoalteromonas sp. RNAcentral's name for it is "bacterial SSU rRNA". It matches the Rfam family "Bacterial small subunit ribosomal RNA", at positions 354 to 771 of the family's 1533-position model. The record is from RNAcentral. Lineage: Bacteria; Pseudomonadati; Pseudomonadota; Gammaproteobacteria; Alteromonadales; Pseudoalteromonadaceae.
GUGGGGAAUAUUGCACAAUGGGCGCAAGCCUGAUGCAGCCAUGCCGCGUGUGUGAAGAAGGCCUUCGGGUUGUAAAGCACUUUCAGUAAGGAGGAAAGGUUAAGUGUUAAUAGCACUUAGCUGUGACGUUACUUACAGAAGAAGCACCGGCUAACUCCGUGCCAGCAGCCGCGGUAAUACGGAGGGUGCGAGCGUUAAUCGGAAUUACUGGGCGUAAAGCGUACGCAGGCGGUUUGUUAAGCGAGAUGUGAAAGCCCCGGGCUCAACCUGGGAACUGCAUUUCGAACUGGCAAACUAGAGUGUGAUAGAGGGUGGUAGAAUUUCAGGUGUAGCGGUGAAAUGCGUAGAGAUCUGAAGGAAUACCGAUGGCGAAGGCAGCCACCUGGGUCAACACUGACGCUCAUGUACGAAAGCGUGGGGAGCAA